UACGUAGGGUGCGAGCGUUAAUCGGAAUUACUGGGCGUAAAGCGUGCGCAGGCGGUUCGUUAAGUCAGAUGUGAAAGCCCCGGGCUCAACCUGGGAACUGCAUUUGAAACUGGCGGGCUUGAGUGUGGCAGGGGGGGGUGGAAUUCCGCGUGUAGCAGUGAAAUGCGUAGAGAUGCGGAGGAACACCGAUGGCGAAGGCAGCCCCCUGGGCCAACACUGACGCUCAGGCACGAAAGCGUGGGGAGCAAACAGG
RNAcentral lists this ribosomal RNA (253 nucleotides) under uncultured bacterium. RNAcentral's name for it is "partial 16S ribosomal RNA". It matches the Rfam family "Bacterial small subunit ribosomal RNA", at positions 524 to 776 of the family's 1533-position model. The record is from RNAcentral.